This 781-nucleotide long non-coding RNA is filed under the name Monodelphis domestica (gray short-tailed opossum). RNAcentral's name for it is "lncRNA (ENSMODG00000033621.2)". Lineage: Eukaryota; Metazoa; Chordata; Mammalia; Didelphimorphia; Didelphidae. The record is from RNAcentral.
GGGGGGGGAAUUUUAUAUAGUCAAUUUAGAAUAUUUUCCUAUGGUUACAAGAUUCAUGUUCUUUCCUAAUAGGAGGAAAUUUCAUUGAAGUUACUUUCCCAAGAUCUGAUAUCACAGUACGAAGCAGAGCUGGGACUUGAACUCUUAUGUUCUGACUCCAAAUUGCAUGUUGCUUCCUCAGCAUCAUAGAAAACCAGCAACAACUGGAGUGAUCAGGGAAUGCUUCCUGGAGGAGACGACAUCUGAGCUUGAAGACAAAGGAUGCUUUUGAAAGGAAAAGACGACCAUCGAGUGAUCAAAGAUCAUUGAAUCACAGAACCUCAGAGCUGGCAGGAACCUCCAGGAGCAUUCUAGCUCAACCUGUGCCUUUGCAGAAUGUGAAUUCCUUGAGGAUAAAGAUGACACAUCAUUGGUGUCUAAUAAACGUUUGAUGAAUAUAUUCAAACUGAACAUCCCUCCCCCUGUGAGGGGCGAUGGAUUUACCCUGUUGCCUGGAGACUGGACUCAAACAGAGACCCAGAGAGAGCACCUGGGCACUGGCUCUGGAGGGGUUAAGAAAGAGUCCUGGAGCGGAUAAUGGAGCUGAGUAACCCCAGCAAAGUGAAGCCUCAGCUCAAGCUGGAGGGAGACAACAGGAAGAAGAAGCAGCAUCUGCGGACCCCCUCCCCAGGCAGGACUUACCUCCUACCCCAGCACUCAGGCUGCCUCCUGCUGGAUUAAUAUUUCUCAACAUAUAAUUAAAUAUUGUUUUUGUGAUUAAUCACUAUGUUUAAAUUAUGUU